This 332-nucleotide ribosomal RNA is filed under the name uncultured eukaryote. RNAcentral describes it as "partial 18S ribosomal RNA". It matches the Rfam family "Eukaryotic small subunit ribosomal RNA", at positions 1470 to 1796 of the family's 1831-position model. The record is from RNAcentral.
CCCUUAGAUGUCCUGGGCUGCACGCGCGCUACACUGGAAGUUACGGAUUGAGAUACUACCUUGUCCGAAAUGGUCCGGGUAAUCACCUAAAAGCUUGUCAUAAUUGGAAUGGAUUAUUGUAACUAGUAAUCCUGAACGAGGAAUUCCUAGCAAGUCCCAGUCAACAGCUGGUACUGAUUACGUCCCUGCCCUUUGUACACACCGCCCGUCGCUACUACUGAUUGGACGUUUAAGCAAGAUUUUUAAACACUGACAGUGUGUAGUUCACGCUAUACUACAGUGAGAAGAAGAAGAUCGAGCUUACUUGUCUAGAGGAAGUAAAAGUCGUAACA